This 65-nucleotide transfer RNA is filed under the name Dipodomys ordii (Ord's kangaroo rat). It matches the Rfam family "tRNA". Rfam says of the family: Transfer RNA (tRNA) molecules are approximately 80 nucleotides in length. Their secondary structure includes four short double-helical elements and three loops (D, anti-codon, and T loops). The record is from Rfam by way of RNAcentral. Lineage: Eukaryota; Metazoa; Chordata; Mammalia; Rodentia; Heteromyidae.
GGUGGCUCAGUGGUAGAGUGCUUGCCUCACAUGCAUGACGCUCUGGGUUUGAUUCCUCAGCACCA